GACGAACGCUGGCGGCGUGCCUAAUACAUGCAAGUCGAACGAAACUUUCUUACACCGAAUGCUUGCAUUCACCGUAAGAAGUUGAGUGGCGGACGGGUGAGUAACACGUGGGUAACCUGCCUAAAAGAAGGGGAUAACACUUGGAAACAGGUGCUAAUACCGUAUAUCUCUAAGGAUCGCAUGAUCCUUAGAUGAAAGAUGGUUCUGCUAUCGCUUUUAGAUGGACCCGCGGCGUAUUAACUAGUUGGUGGGGUAACGGCCUACCAAGGUGAUGAUACGUAGCCGAACUGAGAGGUUGAUC
This 301-nucleotide ribosomal RNA is filed under the name uncultured bacterium. RNAcentral's name for it is "bacterial SSU rRNA". It matches the Rfam family "Bacterial small subunit ribosomal RNA", at positions 28 to 305 of the family's 1533-position model. The record is from RNAcentral.